AGAGAAUUGACAGAGUGGUUUAAUGUGCCGGCCUUGAGUACUGGUAUGGGGUUCUUCCCAUCAUGGGUUCGAAUCCCAUAUUCUCUG
RNAcentral lists this transfer RNA (87 nucleotides) under Colletotrichum higginsianum. RNAcentral's name for it is "tRNA-Ser". It matches the Rfam family "tRNA". Rfam says of the family: Transfer RNA (tRNA) molecules are approximately 80 nucleotides in length. Their secondary structure includes four short double-helical elements and three loops (D, anti-codon, and T loops). Lineage: Eukaryota; Fungi; Ascomycota; Sordariomycetes; Glomerellales; Glomerellaceae. The record is from RNAcentral.